UACGGGAUUCCCUCAGUAGGGGCGACCGAACAGGGAUGAGCCCAGCGCAGAACCUCCCGGGCCACCCGGCCUGCGGCGGAAUGUUGCGUAAAGGGAAAGGUCGUAGUCAAACCCCUCAGCCACGCGAUCUCUAAGUCAGCCACGAAUAGGCUAUCCCAACUAACGGCGGGAAAGACUCCACGGAGGGUGUAAGACCCGUGUGGGCGCGUGUCAAAGCUGUGUGGGCUCGGCCUCUUUUCCCUGAGAGUCGCGUUGCUUGAGCAUGCAGCGCUAAGCAGGUCGUAAACUCGAUCUAAGGCUAAAUAUCUCCACAGAACCGAUAGCGAACAAGUACCGUGAGGGAAAGUUGAAAAGCACUCUGGAGAGAGAGUCAAAAGACCGUGAAACCGCUCAGAGUAUAAGCCCAUGGCAGCUUGGAAGGCAUAUUGCUAGCGGGGCAUCGAGGACCUUCCCUCUCGGGGGUUGGCGAUCGGUGUUACCUUGCUUCUGUUGUGGCUCGUCAGGUAGGGCGGUCAAGUCCGAAUCCCGCCGACGUGUGGGGGGUUCUUUGUGCGUUGUUGCUCUUCGGUUGGCUUCGGUCGGCCGUUGGGCUCUUCGUGCUUGGUUCCUCUUGAUUUACACGGACGUUCAUACUCAGUUGCAAGACGCAAUAACAAGCCCACCACGGCACGUUGUGAGGUCACCCACAGGCUCAACUUUCGAUUGUGGUCCUUGACGCCGAGCAAGCACAAUGCGUGUCGCAGACGUUCCUAACCGGACCUCUCUCGGGUCAGGAUUGUGGGACGACACGCGCUCAACAGUCAGGUCCGGGCGAUGACAGAGUGCUGGUACGAUCCUCUUGCGACGAGCCGCCUUCUGGCCGAUUUCCGAUGAUCAGGUCUCCCGCAUGUGCCGCGGGAGACCGCGCUUUACGGUCUGGAGCUUUUACAAGUCCUCUCAGUUGAGCGUCGGAAAGAGUGGUGUAAAGUCCAAGCCCAUCGGUCACGUCUCGAAACACGGGCCAAGGAGUAUAGCAUGUGUGCAAGUCUAAGGGUCUCACAAAACCUGAAGGCGAAGUGAAAGCAAGUAAGCGGCGGGUGAUCUUCGGAGAUAUCCCGUCAGCUAGAGGGGUCGUCAGACCCCUCCGGCUUUGGCAGAGUUGAUCCUGCAGCGGUACCGCACACGUACGCUCAGGCGCAAACUCCAGGCUCACGUUUCGCACUGGUCUUCGGACUGUGCUGUGAGCACUGUGGAGCAUGCAUGCUAUGACCCGAAAGAUAGUGAACUAUGCCUGGCGAGGGCGAAGCCCCAGGAAACUGGGGUGGAGGCCCGUAGCCGUUGUGACGUGCAAAUCCAUGGUAUCAGUUGGGCAUAGGGGCGAAAGACCAAUCGA
RNAcentral lists this ribosomal RNA (1372 nucleotides) under Gammarus desperatus (Bitter Lakes amphipod). Its description in RNAcentral is "partial 28S ribosomal RNA". It matches the Rfam family "Eukaryotic large subunit ribosomal RNA", at positions 68 to 938 of the family's 3401-position model. Lineage: Eukaryota; Metazoa; Arthropoda; Malacostraca; Amphipoda; Gammaridae. The record is from RNAcentral.